UACGGAGGAUCCAAGCGUUAUCCGGAUUCAUUGGGUUUAAAGGGUGCGUAGGCGGCCCGGUAAGUCAGUGGUGAAAUCUCCUUGCUUAACAAGGAAACUGCCAUUGAUACUGCUGGGCUUGAGUACAGAUGCUGUGGGCGGAAUAUGACAUGUAGUGGUGAAAUACAUAGAGAUGUCAUAGAACACCGAUUGCGAAGGCAGCUCACAAAACUGUAACUGACGCUGAGGCACGAAAGUGCGGGGAUCAAACAGG
This 253-nucleotide ribosomal RNA is filed under the name uncultured bacterium. RNAcentral's name for it is "partial 16S ribosomal RNA". It matches the Rfam family "Bacterial small subunit ribosomal RNA", at positions 524 to 776 of the family's 1533-position model. The record is from RNAcentral.